CAAGAGCCGCCCUCUUGCUCCACUCCCUGUAACGGAUUUCAUGCUGCUCCACCACUCUCUGGCAAGUCCCGACAAUGGACACCACCCCACUCUCCGCAACAAGCUCCACGUGGCCCUGAACGACCCCUGACGCCACUACUCUCCAUAACAAACUUCACGCUGCUCUGAGCGGUCCACGAUCAGAUAGUUACAGACAUCACAGUCGGUCAGUUACACCCUCCGUCUAUAAAUAAGGAACCCCCAGACACGUUCUUCUCUAAGCUGGUAACUCUAUCUCGAAACUCUACCAAAAAUUUCCGCUCGAGCACUCCAUUUCUAUUGAAGCAGAGUACUGACUUGAGCAUCG
RNAcentral lists this long non-coding RNA (346 nucleotides) under Elaeis guineensis (African oil palm). Its description in RNAcentral is "long non-coding RNA (EGUI_LNC058781)". The record is from RNAcentral. Lineage: Eukaryota; Viridiplantae; Streptophyta; Magnoliopsida; Arecales; Arecaceae.